UACAGAGGUCUCAAGCGUUGUUCGGAUUCAUUGGCGUAAAGGGUGCGUAGGCGGCGCGGUAAGUCGGGUGUGAAAUCUCGGAGCUUAACUCCGAAACUGCAUUCGAUACUGCCGUGCUUGAGGACUGGAGAGGAGACUGGAAUUUACGGUGUAGCGGUGAAAUGCGUAGAUAUCGUAAGGAAGACCAGUGGCGAAGGCGGGUCUCUGGACAGUUCCUGACGCUGAGGCACGAAGGCCAGGGAGCAAACGGG
Molecule: ribosomal RNA, 251 nt
Filed under: uncultured bacterium
Lineage: Bacteria
Description: partial 16S ribosomal RNA
Rfam family: Bacterial small subunit ribosomal RNA
Source: RNAcentral